This 230-nucleotide ribosomal RNA is filed under the name uncultured microorganism. Its description in RNAcentral is "partial 16S ribosomal RNA". It matches the Rfam family "Bacterial small subunit ribosomal RNA", at positions 524 to 753 of the family's 1533-position model. The record is from RNAcentral.
UACGUAGGGUGCGAGCGUUGUCCGGAAUUAUUGGGCGUAAAGAGCUCGUAGGCGGUUUGUUGCGUCGGCCGUGAAAACUCAGGGCUUAACUCUGAGCCUGCGGUCGAUACGGGCAGACUUGAGUUCGGUAGGGGAGACUGGAAUUCCUGGUGUAGCGGUGAAAUGCGCAGAUAUCAGGAGGAACACCGGUGGCGAAGGCGGGUCUCUGGGCCGAUACUGACGCUGAGGAG